CAGGUACAGGGGAAAGGCUCCUGUGUGGCUGAAGCUGCCCGAGGUGGGUGCAGCCUUGUACCAGACAGCCCGACCUUGACCUAAAGAAAAUCCCCAGGGUGGUGGUGGCGCACGCCUUUAAUCCCAGCACUUGGGAGGCAGAGGCAGGC
Microtus oregoni (creeping vole) is the source of this 149-nucleotide non-coding RNA. RefSeq annotates it as small Cajal body-specific RNA 16. The record is from RefSeq and is a predicted model, not a curated record. NCBI's taxonomy places the organism in Eukaryota, Metazoa, Chordata, Mammalia, Rodentia, Cricetidae. The transcript has a single exon.